AUUACCGCGGCUGCUGGCACGAAGUUAGCCGGGGCUUAUUCUGCGGGUACCGUCAUCAUCGUCCCCGCCAAAAGAGCUUUACAACCCGAAGGCCUUCAUCACUCACGCGGCAUGGCUGGAUCAGGGUUGCCCCCAUUGCCCAAUAUUCCCCACUGCUGCCUCCCGUAGG
RNAcentral lists this ribosomal RNA (169 nucleotides) under uncultured alpha proteobacterium GT39. RNAcentral's name for it is "partial 16S ribosomal RNA". The record is from RNAcentral. Lineage: Bacteria; Pseudomonadati; Pseudomonadota; Alphaproteobacteria.